UUGCGAUCUGUACAAAUUAAUUUUUAAGUGAUAAAGCACAAACAGUGAAGUACCGCCACCGGUCGAGAGGGGCAGCACCUCAACAAGACGGGAGAAUUGUAAACCGGAAGAUACCGUGUCCUGCCAGAGAGCACUCGUCGUUACAAGUUUUCAGUGUUUGAAGAGAGGAUCAAGAUACAGAUUUAAGACAAAAGGCAUCAAUUACGAUCGUUUAAAUAACUUGCCCAGAGCACAGCAUCUCGUGUACAGCAUGAAGUUUUCAGCUAUCAAGAUUUCUAGAGACUCCAGAAUGAAAACCAAGCCCUGCACUGCAAAAAAAUGAAUGUCUUUCUUAGUUUUCUUUUGUCUUGUUUUCUAAUAUUAAUAUCUGAAAAUUCUUAAAUUGAGAUACACUGACUUGGUAAGCAAGUGGCUUAAGAUAUUAAGUUUUGUUUAUUGAAAUAAAUGAUGGAAAUCAAGAGGUUUUUGUUUACUUAA
Molecule: non-coding RNA, 477 nt
Organism: Paramisgurnus dabryanus
Lineage: Eukaryota; Metazoa; Chordata; Actinopteri; Cypriniformes; Cobitidae
Source: RefSeq, a predicted model, not a curated record